GUGUCAGCAGGCCGCGGUAAUACGUAGGGGGCAAGCGUUGUCCGGAAUUAUUGGGCGUAAAGCGCGCGCAGGCGGUCUUUUAAGUCUGAUGUGAAAUCUCGUGGCUUAACCGCGAGCGGCCAUUGGAAACUGGAGGACUUGAGUACAGAAGAGGAGAGUGGAAUUCCACGUGUAGCGGUGAAAUGCGUAGAUAUGUGGAGGAACACCAGUGGCGAAGGCGACUCUCUGGUCUGUAACUGACGCUGAGGCGCGAAAGCGUGGGGAGCGAACAGGAUUAGAAACCCCAGUAAUCC
Molecule: ribosomal RNA, 293 nt
Filed under: uncultured prokaryote
Description: partial 16S ribosomal RNA
Rfam family: Bacterial small subunit ribosomal RNA
Source: RNAcentral